CCUAACUGGAGAGAAUACUGUGUCUCAAAUAUGGCCGUGGGAGGUUCAUGGCAGUGCAAACAUUUCAAUCAAGAAACGAGUGCACGACCAAGUGAUGUUAACAAGGCGACUGCAUGAGGAAACAAGAGUUUUGGUUUUGGAGAUGGCACAACACUGCACAUGGUUGCAGAGCUUGGCAAUGGUUCUCAAUAACAAAUUGGCUGAAGAGGACGUAGACCAGGGAAAUGAGGGACUUUGCUGUCUCUUAAGAAGAAGACUGUCAGAGGUGUCAGAAAGGUUCCAAAUGGUCCUCCAACAGUACAAGACUGCCUUAGGUCCUGAGGCCUCUGUCCUUCUACAUGUUGAAGAGGAAGAUCAAAGUGACCUCAGUAGUCCAGACACCAGUGAGGAUGAAGAGGAAAACACAAU
Carassius auratus (goldfish) is the source of this 408-nucleotide long non-coding RNA. RefSeq lists it as uncharacterized. NCBI's taxonomy places the organism in Eukaryota, Metazoa, Chordata, Actinopteri, Cypriniformes, Cyprinidae. The record is from RefSeq and is a predicted model, not a curated record. The transcript has 3 exons.